Molecule: ribosomal RNA, 305 nt
Filed under: uncultured bacterium
Lineage: Bacteria
Description: bacterial SSU rRNA
Rfam family: Bacterial small subunit ribosomal RNA
Source: RNAcentral
GUCCUCCUACGGGACGCAGCAGUGGGGAAUAUUGCACAAUGGGGGAAACCCUGAUGCAGCGACGCCGCGUGGGCGAGGAAGUACCUCGGUAUGUAAAGCCCUAUCAGCAGGGAAGAAACAGGACAGUACCUGACUAAGAAGCCCCGGCUAACUACGUGCCAGCAGCCGCGGUAAUACGUAGGGGGCAAGCGUUAUCCGGAUUCACUGGGCGUAAAGGGAGCGCAGGCGGCAGGGCAAGUCAGAUGUGAAAGCCCGGGGCCCAACCCCGGUACUGCAUUUGAAACUGUCCGGCUGGAGUGCAGGAG